GACGAACGCUGGCGGCGUGCUUAACACAUGCAAGUCGAACGGAACGGCCCUGCCAUUGUGGGGUGCUCGGGUGGCGACCGGGUGAGUAACCCGUGAGUAACCUGCCCUUGACUUUGGGAUAACUUCAGGAAACUGGGGCAAAUACAGAAUAGGAGCUCCUGCUGCAUGGUGGGGGUUGGAAAGUUUAGGCGGUUGGGGAUGGAGUCGUGGCUUAUCAGCUUGUUGGUGGGGUAGUGGGUGACCAAGGCCUUGACGGGUAGCCGGGCUGAGCGGGUGAAAGGCCACACUGGGACUGGGAUACUGCCCGGGCCAGUAGUGGGGGAAGCUGUGGGGAAUAAGGCAUAAUGGGCGGGAGCCGCAUGGUGCAACGCCGCGUGCUGUAUGUUGGCCUUCGGUGUGGAGACCGCUUACACCCGUGACGAAGCGUAAAUGACGGUAAUGGGUAAGGAAGCACCGGCUAACUACGUG
This 468-nucleotide ribosomal RNA is filed under the name uncultured bacterium. RNAcentral describes it as "partial 16S ribosomal RNA". It matches the Rfam family "Bacterial small subunit ribosomal RNA", at positions 28 to 507 of the family's 1533-position model. The record is from RNAcentral.